Molecule: ribosomal RNA, 275 nt
Filed under: uncultured bacterium
Lineage: Bacteria
Description: partial 16S ribosomal RNA
Rfam family: Bacterial small subunit ribosomal RNA
Source: RNAcentral
CUAAGUUUGAUGGCGACCGGCGCACGGGUGAGUAACACGUAUCCAACCUGCCGAUGACUCGGGGAUAGCCUUUCGAAAGAAAGAUUAAUACCCGAUGGCAUAGUUCUUCCGCAUGGUAGAACUAUUAAAGGAUUUCGGUCAUCGAUGGGGAUGCGUUCCACUAGGUUGUUGGCGGGGUAACGGCCCACCAAGCCUUCGAUGGAUAGGGGUUCUGAGAGGAAGGUCCCCCACAUUGGAACUGAGACACGGUCCAAACUCCUACGGGAGGCAGCAUG